Molecule: long non-coding RNA, 629 nt
Organism: Anastrepha obliqua
Lineage: Eukaryota; Metazoa; Arthropoda; Insecta; Diptera; Tephritidae
Exons: 3
Source: RefSeq, a predicted model, not a curated record
GCAUGAAGCUCAAGUGUAAUCAAAUAAAAUAAUAAUACCAAAUAAAAUGUAAAAUAAAAUACUAAUAAAUGUAACUGUAAUAAAUGUAAUUUGUAGCUGUUUAAAUGAGGAUGUAUUACGUCUAGCGACUAUUACUCCGGAAUAAUAAAAUCUCGUUAUCGCCAUUUUCAAGCCCUUAGUUGACGAGGCCUGGUUGACGACAGACUAGCGCGAACCGAUAUAAUUCACGAUUAGACUGCAUCGCCCCUCAUAGGUACCUACGCUAUGGAUAAGUGGUUGAAAAGAAACGCUGAGGGACUAUCAAAUGAAGAAAGAAAUGCUCAUGAAGAUUCAUCAAAUGAAAUAAGGAAUUCAGGGAAUUUAUCUAGAAAAUCUAGAAAAACCCCCCUUGCUUAUCUGUUUUCAAGGAAUUCAAGGUGGCUAGGCCUUGUCGUUGUCUUGACUACAUCCUUGAUUGUUGUCACAAUAUUUCUGCUACUGACUGGAAGCGUCCAGUUAAAAGGAUAAGUAUUGCAAGCUCUUGAGAGCCCUUACUCGCUCUUAUACUUUGAACAAAUUAUAAAUAAAAUAUAAAAUUAAAUUUAUACUUAUUAAAUUUUUAAUAAAUAUAAUUUUAUUUUGAAAAAUGU